RNAcentral lists this transfer RNA (77 nucleotides) under bacterium endosymbiont of Escarpia laminata. RNAcentral describes it as "tRNA-Ile". It matches the Rfam family "tRNA". Rfam says of the family: Transfer RNA (tRNA) molecules are approximately 80 nucleotides in length. Their secondary structure includes four short double-helical elements and three loops (D, anti-codon, and T loops). The record is from RNAcentral.
GGGUCUGUAGCUUAGUUGGUUAGAGCGCACCCCUGAUAAGGGUGAGGUCGGAGGUUCAAAUCCUCCCAGACCCACCA